UGCUGGGAGCUGUAGUCCUGGGGCACGGGGCUGCCGGGCGGCCAUGUUGGUCUCUGCAGUCUCUGCUCCAGCUGCGGCCCGCCUGAGUACAAGGAUGCAUGUAUGAAGGCAAAUCGAGGGUACAAGUGGUGCCCCACAGCAAACCAAGCUGCGAAAACCCAGACAUCCACUGUUACAAACAGGAAGAAGCUAUGGGCCUUUGCUUCAGACUCUGCAAAGGAUUUACCAAGCCCGAGGAAAGGGACAAAAAGUGACAAAAUGCCACAGCGUAACGUCAGGAUGGCAGAUCCGACACAAAUGGGAGGCCUGAGUAUGCUGCUUUUAGCAGGGGAACGUGCCCUGACUGCACAAGAGGUAAGGAACUCUCUUCUCUCCCUUACUGCGAGACCUCAGUUGAAAGAGAGCUCUGAGGAGGAAUAUGUGACCAGUGGGAAAUGUAAUUUACUUACAUACCUCAGGUGGGACUGAAGUGUGAGCCCUGUGAUAGGAGUCUUGUAUCCCAACCAUGAACGUAGAGGUUGGGCCCAGAUUUUGUAUCAGUUCAGUAUUAACUCUGCUGAGUGAGUAUUUGAUCAGAGCAGGCAAGAGUGCCCUCUGAGAGGACGUUGUCACAGGUGGAAGGCUUGAAAUGCAGUGAGUGUGUUAACACGGAGGUGGUUUGCAAACUCUUUUGGGCAAGGAUUUCAUCUGCUUGUGUAAUGCCUCACACAACUGUGGCCUUGGCACCAACAGCAAAAUAAAUACCUGAUAAUUUCCAUACAGUCAGUGUCAUUACGUGUGCAUUCUGAAGCCAUGCAAGUGCUAACAAGCCAUCAAAGUGUUGGCAGGAUAUUCCCAUUCCCUAAGUCUUUCGGUCUGAAAAGAAGUUUGUAGUUCAGUUGCCAUCACAAACAAUUUGGUUUUACAAAGGAUUCUAGUAAAUAAAAGUGUUCCCGUGUGUCUCCAGUAGUGCAGAGACCUCUGGUCUUUCUUUAGACAGGUUAAUAUUUAUGAUCUAUUUUUGGGGCAAACUUUGAAAAUUGUUCAAAAAGUGGUUAGUAUGUUGGGUAAAAUAGGUGGUCGCUGCCAUAAAUCUCUAGCCUGGAAAGAAGAGCUGUGGAAGCGAGGAGGGUUUCUUUUUUUUUUUUUCCCUCUUUUUUCUUUUUUCAUUGUUAUUGGGAGGAAAAGCAAUAAUUAACUCUCUCUCUGUGAUACCCGCAAAUGCCAAAUGUGUAGUGUGUUUGAGAUGGAUUGCUCCUGUACGGCCA
This is a long non-coding RNA of Harpia harpyja (harpy eagle), 1247 nucleotides long. RefSeq lists it as uncharacterized. Lineage: Eukaryota; Metazoa; Chordata; Aves; Accipitriformes; Accipitridae. The record is from RefSeq and is a predicted model, not a curated record. The transcript is spliced from 3 exons.